Molecule: ribosomal RNA, 751 nt
Filed under: Escherichia coli
Lineage: Bacteria; Pseudomonadati; Pseudomonadota; Gammaproteobacteria; Enterobacterales; Enterobacteriaceae
Description: partial 23S ribosomal RNA
Rfam family: Bacterial large subunit ribosomal RNA
Source: RNAcentral
AUAUGGGGGGACCAUCCUCCAAGGCUAAAUACUCCUGACUGACCGAUAGUGAACCAGUACCGUGAGGGAAAGGCGAAAAGAACCCCGGCGAGGGGAGUGAAAAAGAACCUGAAACCGUGUACGUACAAGCAGUGGGAGCACGCUUAGGCGUGUGACUGCGUACCUUUUGUAUAAUGGGUCAGCGACUUAUAUUCUGUAGCAAGGUUAACCGAAUAGGGGAGCCGAAGGGAAACCGAGUCUUAACUGGGCGUUAAGUUGCAGGGUAUAGACCCGAAACCCGGUGAUCUAGCCAUGGGCAGGUUGAAGGUUGGGUAACACUAACUGGAGGACCGAACCGACUAAUGUUGAAAAAUUAGCGGAUGACUUGUGGCUGGGGGUGAAAGGCCAAUCAAACCGGGAGAUAGCUGGUUCUCCCCGAAAGCUAUUUAGGUAGCGCCUCGUGAAUUCAUCUCCGGGGGUAGAGCACUGUUUCGGCAAGGGGGUCAUCCCGACUUACCAACCCGAUGCAAACUGCGAAUACCGGAGAAUGUUAUCACGGGAGACACACGGCGGGUGCUAACGUCCGUCGUGAAGAGGGAAACAACCCAGACCGCCAGCUAAGGUCCCAAAGUCAUGGUUAAGUGGGAAACGAUGUGGGAAGGCCCAGACAGCCAGGAUGUUGGCUUAGAAGCAGCCAUCAUUUAAAGAAAGCGUAAUAGCUCACUGGUCGAGUCGGCCUGCGCGGAAGAUGUAACGGGGCUAAACCAUGCAC